RNAcentral lists this ribosomal RNA (429 nucleotides) under uncultured bacterium. Its description in RNAcentral is "bacterial SSU rRNA". It matches the Rfam family "Bacterial small subunit ribosomal RNA", at positions 355 to 775 of the family's 1533-position model. The record is from RNAcentral.
UGGGGAAUUUUUCGCAAUGGGGGAAACCCUGACGAAGCAACGCCGCGUGGAGGAUGAAGGCCUUCGGGUCGUAAACUCCUGUCGACCGGGACGAACGUAGAGAGGGCUAAUACCCAUUUCUAUCGACUGUACCGGUGGAGGAAGCCACGGCUAACUCUGUGCCAGCAGCCGCGGUAAUACAGAGGUGGCAAGCGUUGUUCGGAAUUACUGGGCGUAAAGGGCGCGUAGGCGGCCUUGUAAGUCCUGUGUGAAAUCCCCCGGCUCAACUGGGGAACUGCACAGGAGACUGCUUGGCUUGAGUUCGGGAGAGGGAAGCGGAAUUCCGGGUGUAGCGGUGAAAUGCGUAGAUAUCCGGAGGAACACCGGUGGCGAAGGCGGCUUCCUGGACCGACACUGACGCUGAGGCGCGAAAGCCAGGGGAGCAAACGG